AUACGGAGGAUCCGAGCGUUAUCCGGAUUUAUUGGGUUUAAAGGGUGCGCAGGCGGCCAUUUAAGUCAGCGGUUAAAUCGCGGGGCUCAACCCCAUUCUGCCGUUGAUACUGGGUGGCUUGAUUGCGGUCGAGGUUGGCGGAAUUCGUUGUGUAGCGGUGAAAUGCAUAGAUAUGACGAAGAACACCGAUUGCGUAGGCAGCUGACCAGACCGCAAAUGACGCUCAUGCACGAAAGUGCGGGGAUCGAACAGGAUUAGAUACCCUGGUAGUCCGCACAGUAAACGAGGAAUACUUGGUUUCGGCGAUAUAAUGUCGGAGGCAAAGCGAAAGCGAUAAGUAUUCCACCUGGGGAGUACGCCGGCAACGGUGAAACUCAAAAGAAUUGACGGGG
This 392-nucleotide ribosomal RNA is filed under the name uncultured bacterium. RNAcentral's name for it is "partial 16S ribosomal RNA". It matches the Rfam family "Bacterial small subunit ribosomal RNA", at positions 523 to 918 of the family's 1533-position model. The record is from RNAcentral.